This 259-nucleotide ribosomal RNA is filed under the name Triticum aestivum (bread wheat). RNAcentral's name for it is "partial small subunit ribosomal RNA". It matches the Rfam family "Bacterial small subunit ribosomal RNA", at positions 726 to 983 of the family's 1533-position model. Lineage: Eukaryota; Viridiplantae; Streptophyta; Magnoliopsida; Poales; Poaceae. The record is from RNAcentral.
CUGCUGGGCCGACACUGACACUGAGAGACGAAAGCUAGGGGAGCAAAUGGGAUUAGAGACCCCAGUAGUCCUAGCCGUAAACGAUGGAUACUAGGUGCUGUGCGACUCGACCCGUGCAGUGCUGUAGCUAACGCGUUAAGUAUCCCGCCUGGGGAGUACGUUCGCAAGAAUGAAACUCAAAGGAAUUGACGGGGGCCCGCACAAGCGGUGGAGCAUGUGGUUUAAUUCGAUGCAAAGCGAAGAACCUUACCAGGGCUUG